Girardinichthys multiradiatus is the source of this 2381-nucleotide RNA transcript. RefSeq lists it as uncharacterized. Lineage: Eukaryota; Metazoa; Chordata; Actinopteri; Cyprinodontiformes; Goodeidae. The record is from RefSeq and is a predicted model, not a curated record. The transcript has 8 exons.
UAUGAAGGAAACUAGUUUACCUCUUUUUAAUUAAUCUGAAUAAAAUGUCUAUAUAUGAAAUUAUUUAUGCCCUUCUCAAUAAUGACUGGACAAAUCCUUAUAGGCAUUACAGCAAUCAGACCCUCUUUACAUUUGCAGAACAGCUUUUUAGAUAUUAACAAUACUACUUUGACGAUUUAUCUUUGGUUAUGAUCUCCAAGUCUUUGGGGUUGGACGGCUUCCUUUUCGUCACCCUAAUCUUUAGCUCCUUCCGAUAGAUUCUUAUCAGUUUCAAGCCGCGACUCUGGCUGGGCCACUUUUGUUCAGAAGAAGCAUUUUGGAUCAAAUUUAAAGACAACUUUUAACUCUUAAUCUGCCAGGCGUAUGACUAAUUGUGGGUUUAACUGUGCUGGUUACUUUUUCAUUUGAGAAUUAGACCAGCUUCAAUUGAAAGCUGGCUUCCAGCUGUGUUUUUGCAGCUCAUUUAACUCAGAUCAGAACCUUUAGAGAAGAACCAAAAACUGAACCACUAAUGUAUGGCAGCUCACACUGGGUUGGGUUCAGCUUUUCAUUUUUCAGAGCACCCAAUGAACUUGACUCACACAUGUGUCAUGUAGAACCAAACACACUGACAUUUCCCCUUAAUGGAGUAAAGUGUCUAAAAUAAACUCUACAAACAUUUUUUUAGCAUAUCUGGCAUCCAUGUGAGAAAUAGAAGAGAUGACGUUAAAAGUAAAAGUUACUUUUACUCAAAUAUCUUAAACGCAGGAGAACAUUAGAGAGAAAAAAUCAGGUCAGAUGAAGGAUUUUUUUAGUGAACAACAUCUUGUCAUGAUGCGUCACAAUGUGGUUUCCUGGACAUGUAUUUUAAGAAACUGGUGCACUUAGAGAGUUUGGUCAUAUUUACUCAAGAAUAGAGCUACUGAAAGAAGGAUGAACCAUCAGCCUUUGUAUGGACUAUAUCUCAUUAUAUUUACUUCAUGGACAUCAGAUGCACUUUAUUCAUCAGAUCCUGUGCAGAUGUUUGCUCAACCAGGAGACAGAGUUACUUUGCCAUGUGGUUUACCUUCUGUUGGAUCCUGCUCUUCAAUAAACUGGACAGAGAAGUUUUAUGUAUGGGAUUCUGAGGUGGUGACGGCUGGAAAAGUCACAUAUUUUAAAGAAAACAAGUAUAAUCUGCUAAAGGAUUGCUCCCUGGAGAUCCCUAAAAUGGAGCGUCAUGAUGCCAAGUUGUACACUUGUGAAAGUGGAGCUCUGAAUUCAAGUGUUUCCCUUCGGUUUCUUGAUAUUUUUUUGUUUUACAGUUAAUGAGUCCCAAACAGAGGACACAGUAGAACUUCACUGCUCCCUCAGUACAUUUCUAGGAUAUGUCCCCUGUAAAAAUGACACAGGCAUUAAUAUCAUAUGGACAACUGAGAAUGAUGUUCCAAUCACCGGUAAAAGAUUUAGAUUUGAGAAUCCAUCUGUUUGCUUCUCAAAACUGAUCAUCACCAAGAAAGUGACCGACCAUCACAGGGCAUGGAAAUGCCAAGUAACCCAGAAUGAUGUGGUUAAAGCCAUCGCCAGUUAUAAGACAACAAUAACAGAUGGGCUGGAGGAAGUGUUUGCUGCAGUUGGUGAGUCAGUGUCACUCCUUUGCAGAAACACUUUCUCUCUCAGACUUGAAGACAGCAUAGAGUGGACUCUGAAUAAAAAACCACUGGCUGACAUGUUACCUGAAAAUGGCCAAACAAAUGUAUUUAAUGUGAGCACAGACUCAUCAUUAGUAAUCAAUACACUGAUUCCUCUGUAUGCUGGAGACUACCAGUGUAUGGGUUCCUCUGAUGAGCAAAGAGUGUUUCACAAAUUCAGGCUGCACACCCUCGAUGUUACUGCAAAGACAGACCCAGAAGGCGAAAAUCUCACUUUGACCUGUUUGCUUACUUGUGCAAAAGAAUGUGAAGAAAACUUCAACUUAACUUGGUCUGGAAGUAGCCGAGAGGGCUGGCAGGGCAGAUUAUUGAAUGUUAAUAACACCUUGAUCAAUGAGCUUCUUCUCCCAGUUUGGCCAGUUAGCUCUGAUGAAAUAACCUGCUCUGUGUACAGAGAAGGUUCACUGAUGGCAUCAAAAAGAUGGCACUCUGUUAAAUUUCUGCAGACCCUUGCAUGGAUAGGUCUUCCUCUGGGCCUUUUAAUAUGUGCAGCAACAGCAGGAGUUUUUAUUCACUGGAAGAGGAAGCGCAACCAGGAUUUGGUUGCCAAAUUGUCAAACAUCUCAAUGACGCAUAUUUAUGAUGCCAUUCAGGAUGAGGAAGUAGAGCAACAGAGACAACUAAAUAGAGAAGUGGCCACCACUGAUGACGGUCUCUACAAUUUAUUACAAACUGUAAACUAAAGGAAAUAAAUAUUGCUCUUUGUCUUUA